CCCAGCUCCAGAUUAGCCUCAUUCCCACUCACCUCUCGAUUGGAGCCUAGAGCAGUUCUCCACCCAGAUCCCGUCUCUCACCCGUUGUGGCAGCGACCGACAGCACUCGGCAAGUUACGGUGCUAGCAAAGUACGGCGACUGGUGGUGGCGGAAAACGGCGACUGGCCACGCAUGCUGUUGUGGGAGCGGCGGCAGCACGGGCUGAUGGGCGAGCGGGGGCAGGGGGCGCAAGGCUGAUGACCGAGCGGCGGGGCGUGCUAAUGGGCGGCCGGCGCCGUGGGCUGAUGUUCUGCGCUGAUCGGUUCUCAUUCGCAUGCAGGGUAAAGGAGGCGUGAGAUCCACAUCUCUAGUUGAACAGCCGCCCGAGGAAAUGUCUCCUCCCUACCCAGCCAGAAGUUUGAUCCUUCCGAUCGAAGAGGUACCGUAUCAGUUUCCAUUUGCAAGACGUAUGGUUGGAAAAGGAUUGAAGUACUGGUGUAACACUAAUAAUUCUUACUAAGAUGUGAUUUCUAUGUCAAUGUGUAGAUGAUUCCUGAACAAUUUCUUAGGUAUUGGUAAGUCAUAUUGGAGAUAAAUUGAGUUGUGAUAAUGCUAUGAUACUAAUGAUGACAAUGGUACCUAUGGCAAUGUGGGAGAUUAUAUAUAUGGCGAUGGGCAUUACGAUCAAGACGACCAUAAUGGUGAUGAGUCUGAUGAUCUUCGAGUCAUGCAACCAAGUGAAGUUAUGAAGUUCAUGGACAAUUUAGCUUAUGCACAAUGUUUGGACCAUUAUAUCUUAGUCAUUAUUUUGUUUUUCAUUUGACACUUCUUAGAUGCGUCAGUAUGGCCAAUGUAAUAUUGAUUCAACUCA
Long non-coding RNA from Triticum aestivum (bread wheat), 851 nucleotides. RefSeq lists it as uncharacterized. NCBI's taxonomy places the organism in Eukaryota, Viridiplantae, Streptophyta, Magnoliopsida, Poales, Poaceae. The transcript is spliced from 4 exons. The record is from RefSeq and is a predicted model, not a curated record.